Molecule: small nuclear RNA, 120 nt
Filed under: Zea mays
Lineage: Eukaryota; Viridiplantae; Streptophyta; Magnoliopsida; Poales; Poaceae
Description: U2 spliceosomal RNA
Rfam family: U2 spliceosomal RNA
About the family: U2 is a small nuclear RNA (snRNA) component of the spliceosome (involved in pre-mRNA splicing). Complementary binding between U2 snRNA (in an area lying towards the 5' end but 3' to hairpin I) and the branchpoint sequence (BPS) of the intron results the bulging out of an unpaired adenosine, on the BPS, which initiates a nucleophilic attack at the intronic 5' splice site, thus starting the first of two transesterification reactions that mediate splicing.
Source: Rfam by way of RNAcentral
AUAUCUUUCUCGGCCUUUUAGCUAAGAUAAAGUGUAAUAUCUAUAGUUUAAUAUCUGUUAUAUGUGUGCCAUAUGUCCACUUUAAUUUUAAAAUUUAUUUUUUGUGUGGAAGGUCCACUU